UCUGCCUCAGCACAGGCCCAAACCAGCGGGCCAGAGCCCCAGGGCCUGAAGCUCCGCAAGUGGGAGCCAGAGUAACCGGGGCGCCCCGCCCCACCGGGUCGAGACCCUUCUUCCUGCCCUGGACAGACCGCGGGCGGGCUCCGCCCCGCUGCCCUCUGCACCCGCCCGCUGCUCUCUGCACCCGCUGUCCUCUGCACCCGCUGCCCUGUGCUCCCGCUGCCAGAGAGGGAGCCCCAUCCCCGUCCCCAACCCCAUCCCGGCCCGCGCAGUGGCCUCCCCCGGGCAUGGCGCGCGCCCUGGGCCCUGAGCGGCGGCUGCUGCUCAUCUACACCGGCGGCACCUUGGGCAUGCGGAGGGAGCGCGGGGUGCUUGUCCCCGGCCCAGGCCUGGCUUCUGUGCUGCGGACCCUGCCCAUGUUCCACGAUGAGGAGCAUGCCCGGGCACAGGGCCUCCCUGACAACACCCUGGUGCUGCCUCCUGCCAGCCCUGGCCCCAGGGUCAUCUACACAGUGUUGCAGCGCCAGCCGCUCUUGGACUCCAGCGACAUGACCAUCACUGAGUGGGUCCAGAUAGCCCAGACCAUAGAGAGGCACUAUGAGCAGUACCACGGCUUUGUGGUCAUCCACGGCACCGACACCAUGGCCUUCGCAGCCUCUGUGCUGUCCUUCGUGCUGGAAAACCUGCACAAGCCUGUCAUCCUCACCGGCGCCCAGGUCCCCAUCCACGCGCUGUGGAAUGACAGCCGGGAGAACCUGCUGGGGGCGCUGCUCAUGGCCGGCCAGUAUAUCAUCCCUGAGGUCUGCCUGUUCAUCCAGAAUCAGCUGUUUCGGGGCAACCGGGUAACCAAGGUGGACACCCAGAGGUUUGGGGCCUUCUGCUCCCCCAACCUGCCCCCACUGGCCACCACGGGCGCGGAGGUCACAGUUGCCCGGGAGCUGGUGCGGACGGCCAGCUGGAAGGACGCGCUGGUGGUGCACAGCAGCAUGGAGUGCGACGUGGGGCUGCUGCGCCUCUACCCGGGGAUCCCUGCCUCCCUGGUCCGGGCCUUCCUGCAGCACCCGCUCAAGGGCGUAGUCAUGGAGACCUUCGGCUCAGGCAACGGGCCCACCAAGCCUGACCUGCUGCAGGAGCUGCGGGCCGCAGCUGAGCGGGGCCUGAUCAUCGUCAACUGUAGCCACUGCCUGCGGGGGCCUGUGACCCCAGGCUAUGCGUCAGGCUUGGCUGAGGCGGGCGCCAGCGUUGUCUCUGGCUUUGACAUGACCUCGGAGGCUGCCCUGGCCAAGCUGUCCUACGUGCUGGGCCGGCCGGGGCUGAGCCUGGAUCACAGGAAGGAGCUGCUGGCCAAGGAUCUUCGCGGGGAGAUGACACUGCCCACGAUGGACAAGCGCCAGUCUUCUCUGUGGAGCAGUGCGCUGGGGUGCAGUGUCACCUGGCUCUUGGGUCUGAGUGGCGGCCAGGAAGUGGAUGCAGUGCGGGACACUGUGAUGCCCAGCCUGGCCCUGGCUGCAGCCCACAAAGGUGACCUCGAGGCUCUGCAGGCGCUUGUGGAGCUGGGCAGUGACCUGUGCCUGGAGGACUCUAGUGGGCAGACCCCACUGCACGCGGCUGCGCGGAGGGGGCACGAGGGUGUGGUCACCAUGCUGCUGCACAGAGGCGUGGAUGUGAAUGCCCGUGACCAGGACGGCCUCAGCCCGCUGCUGCUGGCCGUGCAGGGCAGGCUCCACUCACUCUGAUGCAGAGGCCACCUGGGCUUAGUGACGCCAUCGCUCACCUGCCUGGCGACCGGGUCACCCAGCGCUGCCCACGCUCCCCAGACCUGUCACUGAGGCCAGGGGUCCAAGUCCAGCACUGCCUGGCUGUGUCCAACCGAGGGCCCUGGGGGCCGUGUCCCUGGGAAGUGUGAACCUCGAGGAACAGCCCGGGCUUGCAGGGCAGCAGGGGUGCUGUGGGGCGACCCCUGCACCAGCCAGGGUGAUCUGGGCUGGAGAUCUGCACCUGGGUAUCCUUGGGUAUGGGCGGGUGGUGAGGAGAUGAGGUGAGUGCACUCAACCCUGCCCUGGCUACCCGCCUGGCCCUGCUGUGCUGGAGUGGUCCAGGAGCUGAGCCAUCCGGGAGGCUCGCUGCCUGUGUUCUCUAAAAGUAGGGUGGCUGUGUAAGCUACGGUCCUCCCGACACUUGCCACGAGGUGCCAGAGUCACGCUGUCCCACUACCCUGGCGCACCCUGUCCUUGGCCUGUGGAGCCUCGCCUGCACCCUGGCCCACCGGCAGACACAUGUGACGUGUCCUGGAGGGCUGGCUCAGGAGCCACUGCGGGCUAUAGCUUGGGUCCUGGCCUGGUGUCCUGACAGCCGACCCGCUGUUGGCGUCCAUCUGCAGGGUCUUGUCCCCCAUCCCAAGGGCAGAGUCGGGCACAGCUGACUCAGUUUCCCAGAGCCAGUCCUGGGCCUGGCUGGAGCUGGCUCCGGGGUGAGUGUGAGACCGUUUCUGGGUGCAGCAGGGCUCAGGCAUCAGGGCACCAUCGGGCUGCUGCGGACGGCUGGGGCCUGCCUGGCUCCCCAGGACUUGGCGGAUGCAGGGACGGAGCUGUG
Molecule: RNA transcript, 2589 nt
Organism: Chinchilla lanigera (long-tailed chinchilla)
Lineage: Eukaryota; Metazoa; Chordata; Mammalia; Rodentia; Chinchillidae
Gene: Aspg
Gene name: asparaginase
Exons: 14
Source: RefSeq, a predicted model, not a curated record